ACAGAUGAAAAACUGUCAAAUUCUCAGAUACGCCCAGAAAGGGCCUCAAGUGCAGCUUCCACCCUGGGAGCAGCUCUCCCAAGGCAUUCCAGGGGGCAAAGCCCCGCCAGCCCCGGGGCAGACUGGAAAAAUUGAGGAGGGGUGAACACAGCAGCUGCAGAAGGCACUGGCUGGCAUGGGUGUCGCGGGACACUGACGGGCACGGCAAUCCAAAUAUUUCCAAGCAGAUGCUUCACACAGAGCCGCCCCUCCAGCUAAAGCCCCUAAAUAAUAUACAGGAGUGUGCUGCUAAUUGAGCGUCUUCCCAACGGCCAAGAGGCAGGAAGACUCCGGUUAAAGGCAACUCCGCACUUUAACUUAAAUGAAGUCCUGAGGACAGGCUCAAACUACAAUAGGAAGUUUCUUUUCUUAUAUCCUUGAAUUUCCUGUCCCUUUUCCACACUGAAAUUUAAUUUCCUUUUCAAAGGGAGCUUUUGGAGCUUAUGAAAAUUGACCCAAAAGAUUACAAGGGCUUUGUCACCCUUCCAAUCUCUCUGAAAGAUCCAUAAUUAGGGAGGUUUUUCCUUUAACAUGUGUGCCCAGCAGGCAAAUAUAUAAUUCAGGCUUACAAUUACAUGAACGAGCUAUUUCAAUGUAUUGGAUACAUACAAGCCCAACCAUUACAAAAAAAAGAGUUCAAAAAUCUCGUGUGUUUCAGAGGAAAAGAUAGGCAUCAAGGCAUGUUUUUAAGGGUUUGUUUUCAUUUACGCCAGACUAAAUACAAUUACAGGAAGGACCUCGGAUGUAUGUUUCCUAUGAAGACGAAUAUAUCAAGUGCAAUAAAAACACACCUAACAACCAAACUGCUGACCUCAGAUGAGUCAUUUAUACUCCACUGGAAAUUAAUUGUGCAAGCAGAUAGGUGUGCGUGGAUACCGAAGGCAGCUGUUUGCCUUUUUUCCCCUCUUCUAACGGAGCGACACCGGCUCUCCCCUCUCGCCGCACAGCCUACCCGGGGGUGGGAGGGUAAUAAAAAUAAAAAUGAAAAACCACCAGGGUGCGGGACUCCGCCAGGCUGGACCCCCGGGCUGCUGCCCACCCUGUAGCCGAGCGGCCCUGCCGGCAGGUCUGGGGGAUGCCGGGGGCAGCCCGAGGGGGUCCCCCCGAGCGGGAGGCGGCAGGGGCAGCGCCCGGAGGUGCGCCUGGCCCCGGAGCCGCCUCGGCACCCGCAGCCUCCCCUCCGCCGCCCGCCCCCGCCGGGGAAAUCCCGGCUGCGUGGGGCGAAGCCGCCCCGGGCCAGACUGUCGGGGCAUCCGCCGGAGGAUGCUGCCAGGUCCGCCGGGGCCGCCCCCAGCUUCUAAACAAGACUAAUUAGAAAAAUAACAACUUCAGAGACGAACGAGGAGCUGGAAGGGAGGGGGAGGCUCCCGCCGCGCCUUUUGCAGCGGGAGGGAGCGGGAGAGCUCGCAGUCUACAGCUGCUAAUCCUUGUUUCUCUCUGCUGGAUAACAAUGUCCACUGGAAACAGAAUUGUCUUCAUUUGAAGGUCCUCCAUGCUACAAUCAAGUUAGCCUUGUGGUCUGCUUCUGGUGAAUUAACUAGAUUGAGCUUUUUCAGUCUCUCACGUGGGAUAUAUCUGGCCAGAUGUGAACUUCUACCCUACAGAUGGCUAUAUAGCACAAGUCACCAUCCCUUUGGAGUCAGCACAGAAAAAUGAGCCCUUCCAGGGUGAAGUUCAUUUCAUUCUAAAGUGGAUGUUUAAACCAGACCAGAUAAAUGUCCCUCACAGCAUUCCUAUUUCUCUCUAGCAACAAUCAAGGAAGCCUGUGCUGACUACCUCUCAUGUCACUGCCUGCAUUAUAGACCUCUGUAUUUAGGCAAGAUGAAUCUGACUCUUCAAUUAAGUCAUUUUCACAGUUUUGAAUCAUUUUCUUGGCUUUCUCCUCUGUGCAUCACACUGAUAGGACCUUGCAGCAUCUCCAGCAGACGCAUGGCAUUCGUGCCCACGUACAAGGAGGCCUCACUGGAGCAAGAGGAGGUAUGAGGAAGCAGUACUCUCACCCUCUGCCCAACGUGGAGGAUUUGGUGGGUUCAAUUUUCACAAGGAAGGUCUGAGACCCACAGAACUACCAUUUGACCUCUCCUAGAAUUUGGUUCUAGAAAAACACUGUCCCAUAAACAGUGCUGAUGGCUUGUUGUUGCUGUUAUUGUUGGUGGGCUUUGUUUGUCAUUUUUUCCUUCUGUCCAGAACAGUUUCUACUGCACAGAAAUGCUGUAUUCAGCCUUCAUCUGCUACUUUAUGCUAUAUGGAACACAAAGAAAGGUGCUAGAUGAGGAUGGCCAGGGAGCAGAGCAGGAGUCCUUGCCUGUGUCACUGGCUUGAAAUAAUCUGCAGGUACUGGGCAUCACCAGUCAGCCAACCCACCACACUGGGACCCUUGUGCCAUCAAGCCAGAUGGGGAGGAUAUCAAGCUUCCACCUCCCAAAGCUCUGUUCUUGGUGUAGGGAAGAGGAUCCAGACUCCCAGUUAAACCCUGCACAAGCUGCUGGCAAACAUUUAGAGACAUCAGAAAACAGUCCACACAAGCUCUCAGUUAAAAGAGGUGAUACGUAGAUCUCUUUGUGCUGUUACCUGCAGCCCCUGGAAGAUGUAAAAUCUUGUGGAGGAAGUGUUUGCUGAUCUCUGUCACCAGUGUAGUGAGAUGGGUGACUCAGUGUUGCUCUAAUUAAUGCGUGGAAAGACCUUUUCUGAAAUAUAUUUGGUAUGUUUCCCCCUGGAGACAGGAGAUAUCUACAGCAAGCACAUCCUCCCACACCUCUCCUGGGCACUAGAACUUAUUAGCAAAUCUCCUACUGAUGCUCUUUUACUAGGGCAGGUACUGCUGCAGCAACCAUGGUGGGAAAGGCAGGGUAAAUACAGCCUAGGAAAUUUGACAAUGUUUUUUAGCUUCGUCCUGUAUCAACUAACUAUGAAUCUAAUGGCAUACGCUAAAGGUCUGUGAUCUCACCUAAUCUGUAAAUAAAAUGCUUCUGUUUGAAGGAAGAUGGCUAGACCAGCCAAAAAUGAUAAUAUGAACCUCUGCCACCCUGGCAUCACCUUUAAGGAGCAUGGGGUAUCUUUGGUGUAUCCUUCCUCCAGGAAGUUGCCAUCGUGGAAGUUUUUCAAUGUUUUCACAGGGUUAUUUGCACAAGCAAGUCCUUAGCUCGUUGAGCAAAAAACCCCCAACAAAACAACCAACCUACCUGAUCAAGCUGCAAACAGAGAGAGAUGGCUUCAGGGGAAUAAAAACCCUAGCAAAGCACUGUGAAACAUUUGCACACUAGAGGUUAGCGUCAUGCCAAUUGUUUCUCACUGGAAGGAUUGACAGGGUUAAUUUGUUUUCAUAAAGUGGUAGAAAUUCGAAGCUCUGACAUCUGCCAGUACCUUGGGCCAGCAGGUUCAGAGAUUAUUGAUAUGGAUCACACAGACACACACAGAGCUUGACCAGGCAAACCCAAUUGCAUUGGUGAAAGUAGGCUUUAAAUGAAGGGAGAGACAGGCAAAGAAGUGUUUAUCUGGAAACUGGGACUGAAAGAGAGAACUGGCAGUGUAAGAUAGUUUCUAUUGUCUUUGCCUCACCCCUCAGAUUUUGUACAGUUGUUGCAGGGAUCCUUUGGCAAGGGUCAUUAGCAAGAGGCAGAGCAGACAAAUCUGAUCUGGGACUAACUCCUUCAAGCCAGGCAGAGGGAGGCCACUGAGACCACCCAGCAGGCAGAGAAGGGCUCUCCUCCUGGCAAAGAGAAGACAGCAAUGUGAUGCAUCUGUUAGCGUGCCUGUUUGCAGCACCCCAAUUACGCCUGACCAUGAAGUCUCCAUUAACGGCUUUACCUCCAAUGAGUUAGAAGUGAUCCUGCUUUCCCUCGUCUUCCCUUCUUCCUUUGUAGUGAUUUUUGGAUUCUUUGCUGGGUUUAUUUGCCACUGGCCACCUCACUCUGGGUUUUACACGCUUUUUUUUUGUGUAGAGUUCACAUGUAAUUGACACCAUCUCCUGUGUUAGCCACUGUGGUGGGUUGACCUUGGCUGGCUGCCAGGUGGCCACCCAACGGCUCUCUCACUCCCCCUUCUCCAGCAGGAGAGAAAAUAAGAUGAAAACCUCACAGGUCAAGAGAAAUAAAAAAUAAUUAUUCUCUACUUCCCAUCACCAGGCAAAGUCUAGCCACUUUCGGGGAAGUAGACCUUAAUGUGUGUAGUGGUUACUUCAAAAGACAAAUGCCUUAAUAACAUAUGUGUGUGUACCCCCCUCCACCAGCCUUUAUUGCUGAGCAUGACAUCGUAUCAUAUGCAAUAUCCUUUUGGUCAGCUUGGGUCAGCUGUUCUGGCUGUGUCCCUGCUCAAUCUCUUGCCCAACCUACUGGCCUUUUGGGGGGGAUUUGAAAGAAAGCCUGGAUGCUGUGUGAGCACUGCUUAGCACCAGCCAAAACACCGGUGUGUUACCAACACCAUGCUACGUACAAAUGGAAAGCAUAGCACAAAAGAAGGGGAAAGCUAUGGGGAAAUUUAACUCCACCCCAGCCGGACCCAGUACAGCCACACAGAGAAGAUAGGUAGAGCAGGGAAUGCAGGUGACAUCACACUGAACUGGCCUGGGGAAAUCAGCCUUUUUCUGAUUUAAACCAGUUUCUGUCCCUAUGAAGGCUGCGAGAAACACCAGUUCCCUCCAGUGACGUUCAAGACACGGCUUGGUGUAAACUCUGCCUUAAAUUUCACAAGUGCGUGCUCAAGACGACCUCAGACAAACUUUCCUGGCUGCGUGGAAAACAUUGAUAUUCUAAACAGAGUCCUCAAAAGUGCACUUCGUGCUCAGUGUAUGAUGUAUCACAAAAGCACAGAAUCACAGAAUGGUCAGGGUUGGAAGGGACCUCUGGAGAUCACCUAGCCCAACCCCUGCUCGAGCAGGCUCUCCCAGAGCAGGCUGCACAGAGCCACAUCCAGGUGGGUUUGAAUGUCUCCAGAGCAGGAGACCCCACAGCCUCUCUGGGCAGCCUGUGCCAGGGCUCUGCCACCCUCAAGAUAAAAAAGUUCUUCCUCAUACUCAGAAGGAACUUCUCCUGGCACCUUUUGUGUCCUUUUCCCCUUGUCUGAUAAAAUACUUUGAUCUGCAGGAUCCGAAAGACAACAGCUACUGCACCUGGAGUGGAAACCUGUUCUUCUUGUUUCUCUGGGAGCAGAUUCUUGUGUGGCUUUGGUGCCUUUCCCCACACCUCUGUGAACAAACGCAGGCUGUGAGCUCACCCAGGCUAGCAUCUCCCUAGGAAAAGUGUCUGUCAGGUCUCAGAUCUUUGUGGGGACACCAAAACUAUUGGAGUCUGUUGCUCUCCACUUCCUUUAUGGCUAAUAUGAAGGAACUAGGCACUGGGGGGAGGCUGUUCCUCUCAGUGGUUUUUGGGUGCUGCAAGAUUAGAUGAGUUGCAUCCUGUUCCCCUUGUCUCUACUAACUACACAUCCCCCCAUUGAAUAUAGGGUGCUGAGGAUGACUUCUUCAGAAGUAGCUUUCUAUAUGAUAGAGAUCUGUAGGUUGUCUUAGGACAGGCCUAGCAACAUGUGUAGGUAGCUUUAUGGCUUCCUGGACAUGUUGGACCAGAUAAAAUGCCAUCGCAGCUGAUAAACUGCCAGACUCUGCCUGGAUCUGCCUAUGCUGUUCAGGAAUUACUACACAAAACCACCGGUGUUUCUCCUACUCCUUAGUCAGAUACUUGUGCUCCUUGAGUUAUCUCUCACUUAGUAUUGAGGAAGAAGAGUUGAGUGAAUAACUGAGAAAACCUUACUUAAGUCAUCACACAACAAACCAAAUGGUCUUGCUGACCUCACAAUAUCUUACGUUGUGUCAACAGAGGGUCAGCCAGGCCAUUUCUGGGAGAUAGUUUUGGUCAUUGACAAAACUUUGACCCAGAAAAUUUAUAACUCCGGUUAAAAGUCCUCAGCUGUUUUUUAUCAUACUGAUUUACACUAGCUGAGUACCUGCCCUGCUGUGCCUCCCAAACCAGUACAGAUUUUUUUGUGCACAUUUCCUUUCUUGCUUUAGGAGCAAAACAACAAAAAAACCCCACAUCCCACCCCAUCAAAUAAAAAUGAGCAGUAAAUGCACAAAAUAAGCUUGCAAAAGGGAGAUGUGUCUUAGAAGAAAAUGGAAACUCUUCUGAGUGAGAAUGUUAUAGCCUAUGACACUGUCACGUAGCUGCAUUUCUGUAAUGGACACAAUAUAAUGAGUGCUACUCAUGAAAACUGGUUAUUAUAUCCAAGCUGGAAGUCAUAUUCUGGCAUAUACAGAGCCGACAAUUUGUUCACAGUGGGAGUUCUGCUGCUCUUCUGGUUUUCUUAGGUUAUGUCUAUAUCAUAAAGUAUCUGCAUAUUCAGGCUUACAUUGCUCCUUAAACUAUCCUGUCACCCACAAUUGAGAGAUGAGCGGUUGAAGCUCAGUUUCAGCCCAAGCCCUUAAGCUCUACAUGUCAAAGCUCUUUCCUUGAUCAGCUUGUAGAGCAGUUUGAGUGUGGCUUUGAGGGGGUUGUUACUGAGCUUGAAUACAAGGUCUCCUACGGGUCUCAGCCCUUUUGGACUCUUCUGCUCCUGCUCUGUGUGAUGUCGGACAUAAGGUUUUCCUUAUACAGAUUUUUUCUCUAUAGAUUGGAGUUUAAGAAAAAGCUGUCAUCAAGCUAUUCAUUCCUUUUAGCGUGUGGCAGGGUUUGGUCUAUCACAAAGGUAUUGGCACAGAAUCGGUAGGAUGGUCACAGGAGGAAAACAUUUUUGUCUGAUGCUGUCUUGUACGGUCCCACCCAGGUAACCAUCAGUCCCCCUUCAAGGGCAAGGUGCAAACCAUUCAUUUCUUGUUCCACCUCUCCUAUGGUACUUCUUGGAGGAGACAUGAGCCAGUCUCUGGGUACCAGUCAAAUGACACCUACAUCAGUGGCUUAGCAAUGUUUCUCUGGGCUGCGCCUUGGUCCUGAGAGAUGUCGCUUGUGAGUUUGUCACGCAGCAAGAAUUCUAGCUGGGGGACUGACCAUUGAAAAAAAACCCAACAACUGCUGCUGGCAGGUCUGACUGUGUUCAUCUCUUUUGUAUGUCUUUGGGAGCACAGUGACACUUCCAGGGUUUUUGUUUGAAAACUUUGUUGUAAGUUCAGCUAUGAGAGAAGAGGAAAACAGCAAAUAUGCCAGUUCUAUUGAAGUAUAAAAAAUCCAACAAGCAAUCUAAAAUGGCUAAUAAAAUAGUGCCCUGUGCCCCGAACUACAAGCAAGAAAUGUUACAUUGGAACUGAUACUUAAUCUACUGGAUAAAGCAGCUCGUGUCUGUACAUAAAAUUAAUUAGGCACAAAAUACUCUCUACAGGCAAGCAGCCCCCAUUAUCCUGAGGUUUUAUUCUUUUAAGUAAACAGAAACAGAACCAACAUAUUAAAAGUGUGGUCUUCUCCAGUAAAGCAUAUUCUACAAUAUUUUGCUCUCCAUCAUGUAACAGCUACCUUAGGUUACUUAUUGACUGAUGUGUUAUGGAUGAGAGGGUAUCUUGCACCUGUGUUGUCCCUAGUGUCUCCUGAUUUGGAGCUUGGAAGGGGAAUAGAGACAUUUUAUGGCUGUGCCCUUUAGUGGGCUGGGUCUGGUCCAGAAGAAACUGCUGACUCUUACCCUCACCAGUUGUCUCAGAGAACAAGAAGCUACAGAUCUCCACGCAGCAGUAGGAAUAUUAGCACCCAAAGUUGUAGCAUCUGUCUUCCUUCAUAUUAUUGCCAUAUGGCAAAGCCCAGAGUAGGGUCUCAAGUGUAAAUCAAUGAAUGGACUAUUAAGGCUUCAAUUAAUCAAAGCUGUGCUACAAUUUCCUUUCCUCCUAUGUGCCUGCUUCUUUUUCAAGCACACUUGUUAUCUCUUCUCCAUAGAAACAGUCUUUGCUUCAUCUGUGUCUCUUCUCUUCCCAUGUCCUCAUCACUGCUACUCCCAUCCCUGGAGGUAUUUAAAAAAUGUGUAGGUGUGGUGUUUAGGGACAUGGUUUAGUGAUGGACUGGGCUGUCCUGGGUUAAUGGUUGGAUUUGAUGAUCUCCAAGGUCUUUUCCAACCUAAAUGAUUCUGUGAUUCAACGAUUCUUUCCUUCCCUAAACCCCUAGGUUGGUCAAACAACACAUGCUGCUUAUCUCCAUGGCUGGUGGGUUUGUCAUGUUGCUUUACAUGGCAUGAACCACAGAGACCUCAAAAUGAGGGCAAACACAUUUGUAGCUGCCUGCUCUCUGGCUAUGGUUACAUACUGUGGGGCAAGGUAGGGUAUUCAUGGCUUCCUCUGAGCAGAAAGGGCAGCCAGAAAUCGUUUUCAGUCAAGUUUUUACAUGGAAGUAACAUUACAGACUACAUAAAAACAUAAUGGCAUCUUUGCAUGACAGGGUAUACUGUACCGUUGUGUUUACAGAUAUAUCCAUUAGCACUACAACAGGCUUAGCUACUGAAGUCUUGUUCUCAGCAAUUUUCUUUCUUGGCUAAUAAGAAGGCCCACAACACCCAUGGGAGCAGGAUCCUUGGCAGUGCCCUCGUUGUGCAUUUUGCAUACAAUAUUUUGUCAUCUGCUUCUGGGAGGAAAGGUAUGGGCAGGCAGGUGUCAUCCAAAGCCUGCACAUAGUUUGAAUGUUGCAUUGUUGAUAUCCAAAAUGUACAUCACUUUAAAGCUAGUAGUUACUUCUGCCAUACUUUUGAUGCUGGCCUACACUGGGGAAACUUUUGAAGUACAUGGAAGAAACACAGUAAGUAGGAGAUGGACCAUUCACAGGACCCAAUUAGUUAUGGAGCAAAGACAGUUUCGAUUUGCCUCCAGACCACAGGGUCUCAUGUCAGGACAAGUUUGUGCUGUUACACUUUUUGGCUCCCGUGGCACCAGAAGAGCAUGGGACAAAGUAAAGAUACAGAGAAGAGCAAAAAUGUCUCCCCUCUGGAGAGUGGGCAUGGAGGACAGCAUGGCCAGCAAGCCACUUAGCACUAGCGUAGCUCCUGACAUUCUAGUGCCUCAGCUGUUCCCAGGGUGCCCUAAAAAACCUGGACUAGAGAGGAAAUAAGCAUCAAUGAACGCAGCUUUGAAGUAGCUGAGUACUGAUGUCUAGUUGCAAAUCUCCAGUACACAGAGAGAUAGCCUUCCUUUAUUUGCUUUUUUCUCGAAGGAGGUUGUCAUUUAGAUAUAGUGCAAAUGAGCAAUAAGUUCCUCCUUGGGAUUUUUAUGUCCAAAAAAAAACCCCAAAACAAUGCACACAAUACAGACAUUUGUCCAAGAAAACACUGUAUUGCCUUGUGCAAACCAGCUCAACAUCCCACUUCUCUUCAAGGCCAGGCACAAUGAUGGAUUAAGCACAAAGGACGUUGUAUUUCUGUGUGGUAUGGGUGCCACCUCCCAGAUAGCUCCAAGCCCUUGCAAGACGAGCUGUUCCCAGCAGACAGCAACAGGAGGAGCAGGUCUCAGCUGCCCUGUGUGCAGCAUGCCCGGUGGCCUGGGGCAGAGGCAGAUGGAAACCUUCACAGCCUCCUAUUUUAUUUGCUUGUCUUCUUUUUCGCUUGUGUAGGUAAUUAUUUAGGGACUGGUUGAAGGACAGUGUAAACAUCCCCAAGCAGCUGAGGGGAGCACUGCCCCAGGGCAGAGUGGAGGAAGCAGUAAUGUGGCCAACCUCAUCAGGUGUUGCUGUGCAGGUUGUGCCAAGAUAUGUAUAUCACACCGGCCACUCACCUCCAGAAGGGCACAGCCACUCUGUUAAUACUCUCAUUGGGCUGCACUUUUCUGUUACAGUUGGAUCAUUUGAGUGUGAUAAGACCAACAUCUUAAUGAAGCACAAAGAGGCUGCUCUGCUGGCAGACAGGUUGGUGGUUGGGCAGAGGGCUCCAUUGAGAUCCAGAUCUGGUGUCUGUCAGAAAAGAAAUUUUUUCACCCUUAAUGGGCUUGGAUGGCUGAAUUGGAAACGCUUUUUCCAGGUAAAACUAUUUUCCAUUCCAAAAGACCCAGCAAGGUACAAUUUGGGGUUAAAAAGGAGUAUUCAGUUGAUUUGAACGUCUUGUUUACAAAAAACAGAAACAAUGUGUUCAGAUUUUGGCAUAAUGUUUCUUUCACUUUAUAUUAUCAUUUCUAAAGAAAAGGGAGGACUUCAUGCCUAUGACACUCUAUUUUUUCCAUCAUCCUAUCUAAUAAAAGAUAUUACUUCUCCCUGCAAAUCAUGCUUCACUAUAAAAUGAAAUGUUUCAAAACAAACAAACAAAAAAGCCAUUUCAACCCUUUUAUGCUUUUUUGUAAAACCAAACAACUGAAUUUUGUAUUUUUCUUUGGAACGUUUUUAUUUUCUAUCUUUUUGUAUUAAAAAACAUUAUGAAAUCAUUUCCUUUCAUUUUCUAGCUCAGCAAUGAGGCAUUUUCCAGAACAAAAGUAUUUUUUACUCUGUUUUUCCUAAAACCCCAUCAAUUGACCUAGUGCAUCCUAAGGACAUUGAAUCAGUGGUAAACUGGAGGGAGGCUGAGCAAUGUGAUAUAGUAGUUGUCCAGAUUUCUAGAGUCCUUUACUAAAUGUUCAACAGGAUCUGUUUCUAGAAAAAUUAAACAAACAAACAAACAACAAAAGCCACUAAAGCAAAGGAGUAAGCAAGCCUGUAAUUAUUCGUGAGACAAGGUAAAUAGGUAUUUGCAGAACAGCUCAAGUACCAAAGUUCUGUGCAGGCAGUAGACCCAGGAAGUUCUUGUUUGCAUGUUCCCAAGUACCUGGAGCAGCAGUGGAAGGAUUUAGGAAGCUGCUUUUUAUCUCAUUUGUGGUUUUGGUCAGGAUUUCAGUUACUGCUUCUGCAGUUUACCCAGAUCAGCACUUUCCAGUGACUGAGGCUGUAGGUGGCAAACCGGCACUGAUGCCUUCUAUUUCUUGAUUUCAGAAGAGCCUUGCCAUGCAUUUAAUGAUCUUCUCGUGUUGUGCUGCUCUUUCUGUCAUCGUCAGUGAUGCUAAAGCAAAAUGAUCUGUUUGUUACUGGUGAAAACUGAUUCAGGGCUAAACCAGCACAGGAAAAAGAGAUAUGCUGUGUCUGUCAAGAGCUCAUUAUUGAAACAAUAGGAUAUUAAUAAUUUGUUGCUGCUGGAAAAAGCAGAAAGGAAAUGUCAAUAAAAUUUAUCAGUAUGAAUAUUCUCAGAAUAGCUGCAUAUUUAAUUACUGCUUUGGAUUUUAAAGUCUCUUUUUUUUCUCUCUGUGCAAACACAGUUUAUUCAACCAGGUACAGAGUUCCUCUCUCAUCAGAAAGAACAUGAAAGGUCUCUGACCUGCCUGCAUGGGAAGCAAUCUCAAAUAUUUGUGAGUUGCCCUCCUGGGAUUCAAUGAAAAGGAAAAAUUGAAGUGAACAGCAGCAUCUUUGGGAAAAAUGUGCAGAGUGGCUGCGGACAUUUCUUGGCAAUGUUGGUCCCUAAGAAUCCGUCCCUGAAGCCCCAGGUUAAACACGUGGAUUUGGAGAGCUGUGACACAUACGAUCAUACCCUCCUGGAUAGCUCUGGCAGCCUUCUAGCUAGAUUUUGUGGAUUCCACUCUAAGAUGUUUGACUUUUUCUGACCUACAAUGACAGCCCGUGUGUCUAAUGGAGUCACGCCCAUGAGGUCGAAGACACCUAAAAAUGAAGUGCCAUCAUGGCAAGUUAAGCAAAAUACACAGCCUCUGUGUUCUUACCCUUGCUUAUUUACCUCUGUAAGUAGCAGCAAAGCCUUGCAAUCUCCUUGCAGGGAACUUUUUAUCUCUGUGUGCUUGGUUAGCCUCAUUUCCACAGCAACAUGGGACGGAAACCAUCCAGCACAACACGAAAAAGGUAGGAGUUGGCGGUAAUGCUGUAGUCCUCCUUUUAACAUAUGGAGACAUCCAUGCAUAAAUAUUGAUGAAUGUGAGCCACGCUUUGUGACCACCUAUUUUCUUCCCUUCAGUUGAACCUACUGAACUUUUUGUGGUUGGUCUUUGUUGCUUCUCAGAUACUACUUCUGAUUAAUACUGAUGGAACUUGGGCAUGGAAUCUCCAUGGGAAUCUACUCUCUCGUCUCAGAUAUUCAGAUAGUUUGCUUUUCUCAGUACUGCUUUCCUCCCAUUUUCAUUUUUGAGAGCUGCUGGAAGGCUUUGUAGUCUGUACAGUCCUGUACAAAGGUAUCAGUGACAAAGGCAAGCGAGUGUUACUGCUAGUGCCAUCCUGAGCAGUCAGCUGCCACAUCUUACACUUAUUUCCAGUAUCUGUAAAUCCAUAAACCAUGAGAUUCCCGAAGUAAACAAAUGUAAUCUUUUUUUGGGAGAUGGAAUACAUUGGCAGGUAAAUCUUAAUGAUAAUUGCCUCUAAUUGGCACUCCCACCAGAUGACAAAUCUUUUAGUCACAGUGGAGUGUCACUUGAAAAUACAUACUCUUGUUUCACCUUUGAAAACAUCAAAGAAAAAUCAUAUAUAUUGGUUUUACUUUAUUGCUGUAAUUUUUCGUUAGAAGCCGGGGGAAGAAAUGAGGGGUGAAAGGCAGGAAUGGCUAUGAAAAAAUGAGAAAUGACUGGCAAAAUGAGGUCUACUUUGCAUGGAGGAUUUCAGAACAGAUAGUUCUGAAGAAAUCAUCAUUGAAUGUAGGAUAAGGACCAAUGGGUUUCACAGUGAUUUUUAAUUCCCACGAGAGGAAUUUCCAUUUAGGCUAAGGGCUGUUGUGCUCAAAAAGUACAGUUACUGAUCUCAAGUGGGAGUGCUUAUGAAGGGCUGCUGCCUAACCAGCUUGCAUCUUGUGGAAUGAUUACACCUGUCUAAAUAUGGGACUUGGCUCUCAACUUUACAGAAUUAUGCUUUAUUCUUUUACAGCACAUCCUAUCCAUUUUCUCAGAUCUUUCUGAAUCCUCAUCCUAGUCUCCAAAAUGUUUGCAAACAUUUUCCAGUUUUACAUGACCUGUUAAUUCAAUGAGGACAUUCUAUAUUUCUUCAUCCGAGUCAUUAAAGAGAGCAUUUAACAGGACCAGAUGGCUUCUUGCAGCACCCAAUCCAACACCUCCUUUCAGUUUGACACUAAACCAUUGAUAAUUAGUCUUCAAAUUAACUUCCCGAUCCUUCACUUAGCCUAUGCUGUACUCUCUCAUCUUCAACUGUAAACCAGGGAUGACAGCAUUCCUGUAACUCACAGGAUUGCUCUGAGGAUAAAUCUAACUUGUUGUCAGAUCUAAUAUGCUGCAGUGGGCUGAAACCCAGAUUUUGUCCACCUUCCUAUGAUCCAGGCUGUUAGUGACAUUUCCCGUCAUGUACAAUGAAAAGCAACG
This is a long non-coding RNA of Falco peregrinus (peregrine falcon), 13249 nucleotides long. RefSeq lists it as uncharacterized. Lineage: Eukaryota; Metazoa; Chordata; Aves; Falconiformes; Falconidae. The transcript is spliced from 5 exons. The record is from RefSeq and is a predicted model, not a curated record.